GGAAGGUGCUGUUCUUCCUCACUCUGUCCCUCAGUGUCAUUGCAGUUCCACUGCUGCUCCGUGCCUGGAGGAAGCUUGAUGAAAAGUGCACAUAUGUCACUAAUUUGGUGACUUAUCACCUUGAGAAGGAAUUGGCGGGCUUGAAACAGCCUAUUAAAUCAG
This is a long non-coding RNA of Megalops cyprinoides (Indo-Pacific tarpon), 162 nucleotides long. RefSeq lists it as uncharacterized. The record is from RefSeq and is a predicted model, not a curated record. The transcript is spliced from 4 exons. Lineage: Eukaryota; Metazoa; Chordata; Actinopteri; Elopiformes; Megalopidae.